Non-coding RNA from Erinaceus europaeus (western European hedgehog), 916 nucleotides. Lineage: Eukaryota; Metazoa; Chordata; Mammalia; Eulipotyphla; Erinaceidae. The record is from Rfam.
AACCGAUGUGGUUGCUGGUGUGUUCUCCUGGCCGGGCCUAAGCCACGCCAGGUGAGGGACAGACAUUCACAGCAAAUGGGACCACUCUUAUCGUUCUGUCCAUGGGCAACAUGUCUUUCCUCCCCACCAGUCCUUUGGCCUGUGGUUCCUUUGGUUGCUAGCUCCUCUCCGACUUGGAGAACUGGUAGAGCUAAUACAUGCCAUGGGCGCUGACCCCUUUCACCUGGGGAUGAGUGCAUAUAUCAGAUCAAAACCAACCAGGUCAGCUUCCUUCUCCCUGUGGGGAGGGGGAGAGGUGAGGGGGGGCCGCGUGCCUGUGGCUUUGGUGACUCUAGAUAACCUCGAUCGCAGGCACCCAGUGGCAGCGACGACCCAUUGAACGUCUGCCCUGUUACCGUGCCUAUCAUAGUGACCACAGGUGAUGGGGAAUAAGGGUUAGAAUCCAGAGAGGGAGCUACCACAUCCAAGGAAGGCAGCAGGGAUGCAAAUUACUCACUCCCAACCCCGGGAGGUAGUGACGAAAAAUAAUACAGGACUCUUUCGAGGCCCUGUAAUUGGAAUGAGUCCACUUUAAAUCCUUUAACGAGGAUCCAUUAGAGGGCAAGUCUGGUGCCAGCAGCUGCAGUAAUUCCAGCUCCUAAUAACGUAUAUUAAAGUUGCUGCAGUUAAAAAACUCAUAGUUGGCUCUUAAGAGCAAGCUGGUGGUCCACCGCAAGGUGAGCCACCACCUGUCCCUGCUCCUUGCCUCUAGGAGCCCCCUCAAUGCUCUUUUUACUUUGAAAAAAUUAGUGUUCAAAGCAGGCCCAAGCUGCCUGUGUUGAACUGGGAUGAUCAUCCAAAGAUCACCAAGAGACAGUUUUAGGUAUGCAAAUGCAAAGGAAUCUUUAAUGCUAUCUGGCUAGGGUCAGGACCAUCA